RNAcentral lists this ribosomal RNA (465 nucleotides) under uncultured bacterium. RNAcentral describes it as "partial 16S ribosomal RNA". It matches the Rfam family "Bacterial small subunit ribosomal RNA", at positions 338 to 795 of the family's 1533-position model. The record is from RNAcentral.
CCUACGGGAGGCAGCAGUAGGGAAUUUUCCACAAUGGGCGAAAGCCUGAUGGAGCAACGCCGCGUGGGUGAAGAAGGUCUUCGGAUCGUAAAACCCUGUUGUUAGAGAAGAAAGUGCGUGAGCGUAACUGUUCACGUUUCGACGGUAUCUAACCAGAAAGCCCCGUCUAACUACGUGCCAGCAGCCGCGGUAGUACGUAGGUGGCAAGCGUUAUCCGGAUUUAUUGGGCGUAAGGGGAACGCAGGCGGUCUUGUAAGUCUGAUGUGAAAGCCUUGGGCUUAACCGGAGGAGUGCAUUGGAAACUGGGAGACUGGAGUGCAGAAGAGGAGAGUGGAACUCCAUGUGUAGCGGUGAAAUGCGUAGAUAUAUGGAAGAACACCAGUGGCGAAAGCGGCUCUCUGGUCUGUAACUGACGCUGAGGUUCGAAAGCGUGGGUAGCAAACAGGAUUAGAUACCCGAGUAGUC